Cyanistes caeruleus (blue tit) is the source of this 1832-nucleotide non-coding RNA. Lineage: Eukaryota; Metazoa; Chordata; Aves; Passeriformes; Paridae. The record is from RefSeq and is a predicted model, not a curated record.
GCAGCAUUCCCUGGCCCCAAGGGCAUCUGGACACAGCCAUUCCUGGUGGGUUUGCUGCUGCCUCAACACCCUGACCUUCUCCAGGCAGCCAUACCAGAGGAUUUCAGCCCAAGACUAAGGCAUCUCCUCAAUCUCCUCCCAGGUAGAAUUCAAGUCCUUCCUCACUGACCUCAGUGUCCCAUAUUGUUUUCCCUGCGUGUCUUUACCCUUUCCUUUUCCUGAUUCAGGAGAGAACGGGUGCUCGUAGGCAUUUGUUCUCAAGCUUUAUCAACUGAAACAGCUUUUAUGGAGCUCUGCAGCGCUGAAAGGUUGAUCUCACCCAGGCUAUACAUCAGGGAGAUCAUUUGCAGUACCUCUCGCUGCUGCUCACGGGGUCUCUGCCGACACUCAGCUCCACUCAGCGCUUUCCUUCAUGUGCAGCGCCGAAAACAAGAAAAGCUGCUGCUGCCGUUUUUGUCCUUCUGUCUGCAGCAGGGCUGGCUAAAAGCAGCUAAACAGAGAGUUCAUUGCAAGCCAUGCUGAGGCAGCCACAGCCGCGUGCCAUUGUCCUGGUCAUGCUGAUUUCAGCCAUGCAGUCCCAGGCACUUGGCCCCUCCUGGCUCUGGCUGCUCCUGGCCUCAGGGAGGCCCUCAGGGCUGACUAUGGGGCCACUCCCAGCACUGGUCCCCGCUGCCUGGUUGCCGGUAUGGCCCUGGCCAGCAUGGCCCAGUGGUGCCACCGGAAAAAAGAACCGGGGGACUCCGCUAGGAAAGGGGCCUGGCUCCGCCAGGAUGAGGCCUGGAGGGCUCCCUGGUGAGGGGCUCCUCAGCCUGCCCACCACCCCUCAGAGGGCAGAAAUUUCAGCCAAGCCACGCCCAGCCGCAGGCCGUGCCCAUCUGGCCACACAGGACCAGUGACCUGUUCAAAGGCCGGAAGCCAGAGAGGGUUUUCCUGGCCUUUAUUAAUUUUUAAAGUGCUUUUCCACAGAGGCACGCUCAAAUCUUUUAAGUGGGUGAACCAGGUGUCAAUCUUCAAAAUUAGCCAGCUGAUUGGCUCUUCAAAACUAGCUACGAUUGGCUCUUCAAAACUAGCCACCUGAUUGGCUCUUCAAAACUAGCUACUUGAUUGGUUCUUCAAAACUAGCCACCUGAUUGGCUCUUCAAAACUAGCCAUCUGAUUGGCUCUUCAAAACUAGCCACCUGAUUGGCUCCGCCGUGUCCCCACAAAACUGCCCCCACAGGCCUUGGACUGUUCCAACCCAACUGACAACCCGGCUCGGUUAAACCACGGCUCUGGGAAAGAGAAUAAAAGCCUUCAUCCCCUCUGCAAUUUCAGGAACACGGAGCCCAGGUUUCUGCACCAUCUGAGGUCCUGCAUGUCCCCAUUACCUUGGUGUCCCCUCUGCAGCCCUGUGAAGUCCCAGGUGAGGAAGCAGCCAUGAAGAUCCUGUUCCUGCUCUUCCCCCUGAUCCUCCUGUUGGCCCAGGGUGCUGCAGAAACAGGCAGUGCAAUUCAAUGCAGAGAGAGAAGAGGAAUCUGUUCUUUUGUAAGAUGUCGCCCCCCUCUAAGAACUAUUGGAAAAUGUACAGCACUAGCUGUGUGCUGCAGAAGAUUUUAGGGUGAAAACCCUGAAAUUCCUGAUAAGAACAUCCCAUUUGCUUCUGGCUGCUGGACCCAUCUCCUGAUGUCCCCUGCCAUCCCUGCCUGUGCCGUGCCCAGCUGGGGUGACAGCAGCAGUGGCAGCUGCUCCUGCUGGCUGCUGCUGGGCUGGAGCCCUGUGGUGCCAGCCCCGCUGUCUUUGGGGCAGGGGCUGCUUUUCCCAGCUUGAAUAAAGACGAGCACUUUGGCAUUGCA